Molecule: RNA transcript, 702 nt
Organism: Fragaria vesca subsp. vesca
Lineage: Eukaryota; Viridiplantae; Streptophyta; Magnoliopsida; Rosales; Rosaceae
Gene name: disease resistance response protein 206-like
Exons: 1
Source: RefSeq, a predicted model, not a curated record
AUGACCGAAAGUUCUAAAAGGCUCCCAGCACUCCAUUCUACUUUCCUCAUUUCCCUCACCAUUCUCUUCUUCACAACCCAUGGAUUCCAUGCCACUGCAAAAUCCUCGAUCUUCUCUGAAAACUCAUCUCCAUUGUCACUCGGGAUCAAACAAGAGAAGCUAAGCCACCUCCACUUCUACUUCCAUGACAUCGCCAGCCGCCCCAACCCAACUGCCAUCUGGGUUGUCCGACCACCCACAUCUUACAAAUCUCCAACGCUGUUUGGCUCUGUAGCUAUGAUCGAUGAUGCCUUGUCCCAAAAGGAGCUCCAAACUUGUGGGAAGAGCACAAGGGUUUUAUGCAUCUGCCUCACAAAGUGAAGAUGCUUUGUUGAUGUCCAUGAACUUGGCUUUCACGGAAGGCAAGUUUAAUGGUAGCAGUCUUACUGUUUUGGGACGAAACGCUGUGGUUGAAGCUGUAAGAGAGAUGCCUAUAAUCGGUGGAAGUGGACUUUUUCGGUUUGCUCGGGGUUAUGUUCAGGCCAAGACUCUCACGUUCAAUGCCACAACCGGAGAUGCUGUUGUUGAAUACAAUGUGUUUGUACUGCAUUAUUGAUCUAAUUGUUCUUGCAGCUUAAUCAGUCUGUUUGUUUUUUUUUCCUCUCUGGACAAAAAUAUUAAGCUCAUGUCUCAUUUGCUGUUGUUGAAUAUAAUGUGUUUGUG